RNAcentral lists this ribosomal RNA (468 nucleotides) under uncultured bacterium. Its description in RNAcentral is "partial 16S ribosomal RNA". It matches the Rfam family "Bacterial small subunit ribosomal RNA", at positions 28 to 507 of the family's 1533-position model. The record is from RNAcentral.
GACGAACGCUGGCGGCGUGCCUAACACAUGCAAGUCGAACGGAAAGGCCCUGCUUUUGGGGGGUGCGCGAGUGGCGAACGGGUGAGUAACACGUGAGUAACCUGCCCUUGACUGUGGGGUAACUUCAGGAAACUGGGGCUAAUACCGCAUAGGAUCUAUUGCUCCAUGGUGGGGGUUGGAAAGUUUCGGCGGUUGGGGAUGGAAUCGCGGCUUAUCAGCUUGUUGGUGGGGUAGUGGAUGACCAAGGCUUUGACGGGUAGGCGGCCUGGGAGGAUGAGAGGCCCCAUUAGAACUGGGAUAAGGCCCAGCCCCGUACGGGACGCAACGGUGGGGAGUAUAACAAAAUGCGCUGAGGCAUGGUGCAGCACCGCUGCGUGCGGGAUGACGGCCAUCCGGUUGUGAACCAAUUUCGCCUGUCCCGAGGCGAGAGUGACGGUAAUGGGUAAAGAAGCACCGGCUAACUACGUG